GACGAACGCUGGCGGCGUGCCUAAUACAUGCAAGUCGAACGAACUCUGGUAUUGAUUGGUGCUUGCAUCAUGAUUUACAUUUGAGUGAGUGGCGAACUGGUGAGUAACACGUGGGAAACCUGCCCAGAAGCGGGGGAUAACACCUGGAAACAGAUGCUAAUACCGCAUAACAACUUGGACCGCAUGGUCCGAGUUUGAAAGAUGGCUUCGGCUAUCACUUUUGGAUGGUCCCGCGGCGUAUUAGCUAGAUGGUGGGGUAACGGCUCACCAUGGCAAUGAUACGUAGCCGACCUGAGAGGGUAAUCGGCCACAUUGGGACUGAGACACGGCCCAAACUCCUACGGGAGGCAGCAGUAGGGAAUCUUCCACAAUGGACGAAAGUCUGAUGGAGCAACGCCGCGUGAGUGAAGAAGGGUUUCGGCUCGUAAAACUCUGUUGUUAAAGAAGAACAUAUCUGAGAGUAACUGUUCAGGUAUUGACGGUAUUUAACCAGAAAGCCACGGCUAACUACGUGCCAGCAGCCGCGGUAAUACGUAGGUGGCAAGCGUUGUCCGGAUUUAUUGGGCGUAAAGCGAGCGCAGGCGGUUUUUUAAGUCUGAUGUGAAAGCCUUCGGCUCAACCGAAGAAGUGCAUCGGAAACUGGGAAACUUGAGUGUAGAAGAGGACAGUGGAACUCCAUGUGUAGCGGUGAAAUGCGUAGAUAUAUGGAAGAACACCAGUGGCGAAGGCGGCUGCCUGGUCUGUAACUGACGCUGAGGCUCGAAAGUAUGGGUAGCAAACAGGAUUAGAUACCCUGGUAGUCCAUACCGUAAACGAUGAAUGCUAAGUGUUGGAGGGUUUCCGCCCUUCAGUGCUGCAGCUAACGCAUUAAGCAUUCCGCCUGGGGAGUACGGCCGCAAGGCUGAAACUCAAAGGAAUUGACGGGGGCCCGCACAAGCGGUGGAGCAUGUGGUUUAAUUCGAAGCUACGCGAAGAACCUUACCAGGUCUUGACAUACUAUGCAAAUCUAAGAGAUUAGACGUUCCCUUCGGGGACAUGGAUACAGGUGGUGCAUGGUUGUCGUCAGCUCGUGUCGUGAGAUGUUGGGUUAAGUCCCGCAACGAGCGCAACCCUUAUUAUCAGUUGCCAGCAUUAAGUUGGGCACUCUGGUGAGACUGCCGGUGACAAACCGGAGGAAGGUGGGGAUGACGUCAAAUCAUCAUGCCCCUUAUGACCUGGGCUACACACGUGCUACAAUGGAUGGUACAACGAGUUGCGAACUCGCGAGAGUAAGCUAAUCUCUUAAAGCCAUUCUCAGUUCGGGUUGUAGGCUGCAACUCGCCUACAUGAAGUCGGAAUCGCUAGUAAUCGCGGAUCAGCAUGCCGCGGUGAAUACGUUCCCGGGCCUUGUACACACCGCCCGUCACACCAUGAGAGUUUGUAACACCCAAAGUCGGUGGGGUAACCUUUUAGGAACCAGCCGCCUAAGGUGGGACAGGUGAUUAGGGUG
Molecule: ribosomal RNA, 1489 nt
Filed under: Lactiplantibacillus plantarum
Lineage: Bacteria; Bacillati; Bacillota; Bacilli; Lactobacillales; Lactobacillaceae
Description: bacterial SSU rRNA
Rfam family: Bacterial small subunit ribosomal RNA
Source: RNAcentral